Molecule: ribosomal RNA, 498 nt
Filed under: uncultured bacterium
Lineage: Bacteria
Description: partial 16S ribosomal RNA
Rfam family: Bacterial small subunit ribosomal RNA
Source: RNAcentral
GAUGAACGCUAGCGGCAGGCCUAAUACAUGCAAGUCGAACGAUAUUAUCCAGCUUGCUGGAUAUGAAAGUGGCGCACGGGUGCGUAACGCGUAUGCAACCUACCUUAUUCAGGGGGAUAGCCCGAAGAAAUUCGGAUUAACACCGCAUAAAAUCACAGUUCAGCAUUGGACAAUGAUCAAAUAUUUAUAGGAAUAAGAUGGGCAUGCGUGUCAUUAGCUAGUUGGCGGGGUAACGGCCCACCAAGGCGACGAUGACUAGGGGAUCUGGGAGGAUGGCCCCCCACACUGGUACUGAGGCACGGACCAGACUCCUACGGGAGGCAGCAGUAAGGAAUAUUGGUCAAUGGAGGGAACUCUGAACCAGCCAUGCCGCGUGCAGGAAGACGGCCCUCUGGGUUGUAAACUGCUUUUAUUCGGGAAUAAACCUAUUUACGUGUAAAUAGCUGAAUGUACCGAAGGAAUAAGGAUCGGCUAACUCCGUGCCAGCCGCCGCGGUAA